CACACCGCCCGUCACACCAUGGAAGCCAGCUGUACCGGAAGUCGGUGCGCCAACCCGUAAGGGAGGUAGCCGCCUAUGGUAUGACUGGUGACUGGGGUG
This 99-nucleotide ribosomal RNA is filed under the name uncultured bacterium. Its description in RNAcentral is "partial 16S ribosomal RNA". It matches the Rfam family "Bacterial small subunit ribosomal RNA", at positions 1386 to 1482 of the family's 1533-position model. The record is from RNAcentral.